AUUGAACGCUGGCGGCAUGCCUUACACAUGCAAGUCGAACGGUAACAGGUCUUCGGAUGCUGACGAGUGGCGAACGGGUGAGUAAUACAUCGGAACGUGCCUAGUAGUGGGGGAUAACUACUCGAUAGAGUGGCUAAUACCGCAUGAGAUCUACGGAUGAAAGCAGGGGAUCGCAAGACCUUGUGCUACUAGAGCGGCCGAUGGCAGAUUAGGUAGUUGGUGGGAUAAAAGCUUACCAAGCCGACGAUCUGUAGCUGGUCUGAGAGGACGAUCGGCCAAACUGGGACUGAGACACGGCCCAGACUCCUACGGGAGGCGGCAGUGGGGAAUUUUGUACAAUGGGCGCAAGCCUGAUCCAGCAAUGCCGCGUGCAGGAUGAAGGCCUUCGGGUUGUAAACUGCUUUUGUACGGAACGAAAAGCCCUGGGUUAACACCCCGGGGUCAUGACGGUACCGUAAGAAUAAGCACCGGCUAACUACGUGCCAGCCGCCGCAGUAA
This 498-nucleotide ribosomal RNA is filed under the name uncultured bacterium. RNAcentral's name for it is "partial 16S ribosomal RNA". It matches the Rfam family "Bacterial small subunit ribosomal RNA", at positions 30 to 523 of the family's 1533-position model. The record is from RNAcentral.